GACCAACGCUGGCGGCGUGCCUAAUACAUGCAAGUUGAGCGCUGAAGGUUGGUACUUGUACCAACUGGAUGAGCAGCGAACGGGUGAGUAACGCGUGGGGAAUCUGCCUUUGAGCGGGGGACAACAUUUGGAAACGAAUGCUAAUACCGCAUAAAAACUUUAAACACAAGUUUUAAGUUUGAAAGAUGCAAUUGCAUCACUCAAAGAUGAUCCCGCGUUGUAUUAGCUAGUUGGUGAGGUAAAGGCUCACCAAGGCGAUGAUACAUAGCCGACCUGAGAGGGUGAUCGGCCACAUUGGGACUGAGACAGGGCCCAAACUACUACGGGAGGCAGCAGUAGGGAAUCUUCGGCAAUGGACGAAAGUCUGACCGAGCAACGCCGCGUGAGUGAAGAAGGUUUUCGGAUCGUAAAACUCUGUUGGUAGAGAAGAACGUUGGUGAGAGUGGAAAGCUCAUCAAGUGACGGUAACUACCCAGAAAGGGACGGCUAACUACGUG
This 497-nucleotide ribosomal RNA is filed under the name uncultured bacterium. Its description in RNAcentral is "partial 16S ribosomal RNA". It matches the Rfam family "Bacterial small subunit ribosomal RNA", at positions 28 to 507 of the family's 1533-position model. The record is from RNAcentral.